Molecule: long non-coding RNA, 1998 nt
Organism: Puntigrus tetrazona (Sumatra barb)
Lineage: Eukaryota; Metazoa; Chordata; Actinopteri; Cypriniformes; Cyprinidae
Exons: 3
Source: RefSeq, a predicted model, not a curated record
UCUCCGUCCGUCCGUCCGUCCGUCUCUUGUAGAGCCUCAGGGCUUGUGUUUGUAGAUGAGUUCUGGCUGCAGCACGAUCGAUACAAACACUGCGAGUUGUGCGUCCCUGGUUCCCCUCUGUCUACACACACAGACACUCCGUUCAUUUACUCCUGGCUUUCGUGCAACAUGUGGUUCGGCGCCCAGCAGUUUGUGAAGUGCUCGAGUUCUUGCUCGCGGACUUUCUUUGUUAAUGAAAUGUAUGUUUGCUGCCUCGGUUGUCUGACAGUUUAUAAUGCGGAGAUGAAGAACAUCUGUGUUCAUGCUUAACGUACAAAAGCAAAAGCUAUUGAAGAUGUUUCAAAAAAUAAGCAUUUGAACCAGCGCCGGUCCCGUGAAUUAGCAUAUCUGCCGGUUCACGCUGUCUGGUCUCUCCUCAUGUUUUGAUGUGUUGGAUGCGUGUGGGAGGAAAGGCAACAGGGUGCGCGUGUGACCAGCAGAAGAGUGUGCAUCUGAAGUGCUGGGUGAGUACAAAGGGACAUUUACGCCUGUGUCCACCGAGCACAAAGCGGAGCCUUCAGUCUGCAGGCUGGAGAGAGCUGGAGGGCGAGAUCGCCCCCUCCUACUCUCAGACUCGGUGUAUCAUCCACACCUCUCUCUCUCUCUCUCUCUCUGUUUCUCUCUCUUCUUCCACUUUAAUCCCUAAUGUUGGUUCUGGUCCAUCGUGGAUCCAUGCUUGGCCUCCUCCCUUCGCACAAGUGUCAUUCUCCACAUACGCAUGCACACAAGCUCACCCUCGCUCCUCUACGCUUAUGACUGACAGCACAAAGCGGUCAUGGACGUUACACACAUCUUCACACAAUGAGACAAUGAAGCGAAGUAGAAAACUAGAAAAGUUCCUCAGGAUCAUUUUGGUUUGACAAAGCCUUGAAAAACGCCUCGACAGUGUCUAAAAUAAUUUAAUUACAUAAAUAUUCUGGAUUCAGUGCAACUCUCUCUCUUAUGCACAACAAAAAUGUAUUUGUUUAAAAAAAAAUUCAAUUCAAUUCGGAAUAUGGGUUAGUCAGGCAUGUUCAGAGAAGGUGAAUGAGAUCAAUCUGUACACAUUAAAAUACUCAAUAGUUAAUAGUCACAACAUAAAUAAUGUUUCUGUGUGAUUUAUGAAAAACACAUCAGCAUUUUCUGCGCAAAAUUAUGUUUUGACAUUAUACCAGUUAUUAUUUUGACAUGACAAAGUUACACCAUAAACCCUAAAGUGACUGAAAGCUAUCAUUUAAACAACUUUACGGCUCAAAAACAUAGGUUCGUAUAAAGCUUCACAUUUCGACUUUUAUCUAAAAAAUGUCUUUCUUUGCUUUUUAGUAAAUGCCUCAAUGCCACCUUGCUCUUCGUUUUUGUUUUUAGAAAACAAACAUAUAUUUUAUAGGAGACUAUUCGUGCUUGUGUGAAAGACACAAGCAGACCCUGAGUCAGCUUUGUAUUUGUCAGAGGUGGUCUCAUGGAUUUUACCCACUGUCCUCCACAUGGCUGUGCUGUGGGCUUCUGUUAGCAUCGGUGCUGCGGUUCUGGAUCCACAAAUGCUGACCCUCGAUUAGCCUGGACCUGCAUGUGACAUGCCUUCCUGAUCAGGAGAUAUUAAUCAACGCUAGUCUCACAGUGGGUAUAAAAACACAGCUCUGGCACUGACAGAAAACUGUUCUGCGGAGAUGACACUCGCUGCUGACUGUAUUUAUGCUGCUGUUUUCAGCACAUUUAGAAAUUUGUCAUCGAGAUUUAAGAGUAGGGUGCAUUUUAUAACACAGCUCCUUAAAGCUGAAGGGGACAGCUCACCCAGAAAUGCUAAUUUUACCGUAACUCAGUUACCCUUGUGUCAUUUCAAACAUGCAUGAAAAUUUUUAAAAGUUUUUUUUUUUCCCACACAAUGAAUGUCAGUGGGGUCAGAAGUUGUUUGUACGUCAACAUUCUUCAAAACCGAUUCUUUUGUGAACAUCCUCUUGCACUUUUUAAUAAAUUGUGAUA